GCCUCGCUAGCGCAACCGGCAGAGCGUGAGACUUUUAUGAAAUCUCAAGGUUAGGGGUUCGAAUCCCCUGCGAGGCG
Molecule: non-coding RNA, 77 nt
Organism: Cenococcum geophilum 1.58
Lineage: Eukaryota; Fungi; Ascomycota; Dothideomycetes; Gloniales; Gloniaceae
Source: the annotation of a GenBank genome assembly